CGGAGACUUGCCACCCAGCUCCAGCGUCACCUGCUUAACGCCCCGGGCCGCCACCUCCAUCACCUGUCCGGUAGAAAACACAAACGCGCACAAGUCUGCCAAUCCCAGUCCCCCCGUCGUCCCUAUCGGGAGGUGUUGCUAGGUGCGCCAUUACCUUCUUGCCGGUGGGCACGCUGCCUGUGAAGGACACCUUGGCCACCUGGGGAUGCUGGCACAAGAAGGUUCCGGUUUCGGCGCCACCUUGCACCACGCAGAAGAGUCCUCGGGGCGCUCCGGCGUCCCGGUAGAUUUCGGCCAGGAUGACGGCCGUGACGGGUGUCAUGGGGGACGGCUUGAAGACCAUCGCGUUGCCUGACAGAGCGAGGUCACCGUGAAGACGGGCAAGGCCCUCCGGAGCGCAGAGGUUUGCAAACUCACCGCACGCCAGCGCUGGAGCAGACUUGACCACGGCGAUCUGGAAGGGGUAGUUCCACGCACCGAUGCCUGCGCACACGCCCAGAGGCUCGCGGCGGGUGUAGGCAAAGGCUCCGCCGGGAAGCUGGAUGUGCUGACCUGAGCACAUGCGUAAACAAGUUGUCUUGCGAGGAACCGCCGUCUUGAUUUUAGCAAGCUAUCCGUGUUUUUAGCAAAACAUGAUUGGCUAUUCAUCGACAUUGUCACGGCAGGGGCAUGAAGGUUGAUGCGUCCCACCUGCCAAGGUUGCGGCCAGUCCGGCGUAGUACUCCAUACACUGCCAGGCCAUGUCGAUGUCCCCCAGAGCUUCGGUGAUGGACUUCCCGUUGUUGAUCACCUCUAACUUGCUGAUCUUCUCCCGACGCUCCUGAAGAAAAACUCCAAUUCAAUCCAUCAGGCUUGGGGUGUCCGAUGCAAUGGUUGCAAUGAAAAUGUCAGUGAGGCGGCAGGGCCACAUUGGUGAGUGACACUUUUCUUGCGAUCACAAGAACAAGGCGGCCGCCAGCGUCUCACUCUGAUGAUGCGAGCGGCCUCCAACAUGACGCGCGCCCGUUCCGUGCCCGCCAUCUUGCUCCACUUGGCGUACGCGCCACGAGCGCUCUUGAUGGCUGCGUCCACCUCAUCGGAGCCGCACGGGGUCAACUGACACAGCACACGCCCUACACAUACAGGACACACUCAUAACUAAAAACCGUUGCAGCACAAACGAAAAUGUUUACGGCACAAACCAGCAUAAACGAAG
Molecule: long non-coding RNA, 1195 nt
Organism: Syngnathus acus (greater pipefish)
Lineage: Eukaryota; Metazoa; Chordata; Actinopteri; Syngnathiformes; Syngnathidae
Exons: 2
Source: RefSeq, a predicted model, not a curated record